UACGUAGGGGGCAAGCGUUAUCCGGAUUUACUGGGUGUAAAGGGAGCGUAGACGGCAUGGCAAGCCAGAUGUGAAAUACCGGGGCUCAACCCCGGGACUGCAUUUGGAACUGUUAAGCUGGGGUGUCGGAGAGGCAGGCGGAAUUCCUAGUGUAGCGGUGAAAUGCGUAGAUAUUAGGAGGAACACCAGUGGCGAAGGCGGCCUGCUGGACGAUAACUGACGUUGAGGCUCGAAAGCGUGGGGAGCAAACAGG
This 253-nucleotide ribosomal RNA is filed under the name uncultured bacterium. RNAcentral's name for it is "partial 16S ribosomal RNA". It matches the Rfam family "Bacterial small subunit ribosomal RNA", at positions 524 to 776 of the family's 1533-position model. The record is from RNAcentral.